UGUACACACCGCCCGUCGCUACUACCGAUUGAAUGGCUUAGUGAGGCCUUCGGAUUGGCUUUUGGGAGCCGGCAACGGCACCUAAUUGCUGAGAAGUUGUACAAACUUGGUCAUUUAGAGGAAGUAAAAGUCGUAACAAGGUUUCCGUAGGUGAACCUGCGGAAGGAUCAUUAAUGAAAUUCAAGGACGCUCUUUUUAGAGGUCCGACCAAUUACAUUUUACCUUUACUCUGUGCACACACUACUCUUUACACCAUUUUUUAACUCUAUAGUUUUAAGAAUGUAAAACAAGUCUCGAAAGAGCAACAUAACAAAACAAAGCUUUCGGCAACGGAUCUCUUGGCUCUCGCAUCGAUGAAGAACGCAGCGAAAUGCGAUACGUAAUGUGAAUUGCAGAAUUCAGUGAAUCAUCGAAUCUUUGAACGCACCUUGCACUCUUUGGUAUUCCGAAGAGUAUGUCUGUUUGAGUGUCAUGAAACUCUCAACCCCCUCAUUUUGUAAUGAAGUGAGUCGUGGGCUUGGAUUAUGGCUGUCUGUCGGCUUCAUUGCCGGCUCAGCUGAAAAUACACGAGUAACCCCAGUUUGAAAAAACUGACGGCUNGACUCGGCGUAAUAAUUAUUAUCGCUGAGGACGUCUAACCUUCAAAUCGUUAGUGGUGCUUCUAAUGCAAAUCAUUUUAAGAUUUAGACCUCAAAUCAGUCAGGAUUACCCGCUGAACUUAAGCAUAUCAAUAAGCGGAGGAAAAGAAACUAACAAGGAUUCCCCUAGUAACGGCGAGUGAAGUGGGAAAAGCUCAACUUUAAAAUCUGGCAGCUUCGCUGUCCGAGUUGUAGUCUCGAGAAGUGUUUUCCGCGCUGGAUCGUGUAUGAGUCUGUUGGAAUACAGCGUCAUAGAGGGUGAGAACCCCGUUCAUGACACGACUACCAGUGCUUUGUGAUACACUUUCGAUGAGUCGAGUUGUUUGGGAAUGCAGCUCAAAAUGGGUGGUAAAUUCCAUCUAAAGCUAAAUAUUGGCGAGAGACCGAUAGCAAACAAGUACCGUGAGGGAAAGAUGAAAAGCACUUUGGAAAGAGAGUUAACAGUACGUGAAAUUGUCGAAAGGGAAACGCUUGAAGUCAGACGUGCGCGGUGCGAUUCAGCCUUGGUUCGCCAGGGUGUACUUCGUACCAUUGCAGGCCAGCAUCGGUUUUGUGAGCCCGAUAAAGGUUAGAGGAAGGUAGCGGUCCAGGCCGUGUUAUAGCCUCUAACUGAAUACGGAUUGUGAGACCGAGGGACGGGCGGUGUGUACA
RNAcentral lists this ribosomal RNA (1289 nucleotides) under basidiomycete yeast sp. DX-2006Q. RNAcentral describes it as "eukaryotic LSU rRNA". The stretch from base 686 to 1289 matches the Rfam family "Eukaryotic large subunit ribosomal RNA", at positions 1 to 608 of the family's 3401-position model. The record is from RNAcentral. Lineage: Eukaryota; Fungi; Basidiomycota.